GGCCUAAUGGUCUAGUCGUAUGAUUGCCGCUUUGGGAAGACAAUUCUUAAUUGCGGCAGGUCCUGGGUUCAAUUCCCAGUUAGGCCC
This is a non-coding RNA of Plenodomus tracheiphilus IPT5, 87 nucleotides long. The record is from the annotation of a GenBank genome assembly. Lineage: Eukaryota; Fungi; Ascomycota; Dothideomycetes; Pleosporales; Leptosphaeriaceae.